UUGUUGUAGCUCUCCCCAGUA
Molecule: transfer RNA, 21 nt
Filed under: Fissurella latimarginata
Lineage: Eukaryota; Metazoa; Mollusca; Gastropoda; Lepetellida; Fissurellidae
Also listed under: 3 other names
Description: partial tRNA-Leu
Source: RNAcentral